GGACCUGACUGCUAUCGGAUUGAUACUAAGCCAUGCGAGUCAUUGUAGCAAUACAAGGCAUACGGCUCAGUAACGCGUAGUCAACCUAACCUAUGGACGGGAAUAACCUCGGGAAACUGAGAAUAAUACCCGAUAGAACAUUAUACCUGGAAUGGUUUAUGUUCCAAAUGAUUUAUCGCCGUAGGAUGGGACUGCGGCCUAUCAGUUUGUUGGUGAGGUAAUGGCCCACCAAGACUAUUACAGGUACGGGCUCUGAGAGGAGUAGCCCGGAGAUGGGUACUGAGACACGGACCCAGGCCCUAUGGGGCGCAGCAGGCGAGAAAACUUUGCAAUGUGCGAAAGCACGACAAGGUUAAUCCGAGUGAUUUCUGCUAAAGAAAUCUUUUGUUAGUCCUAGAAACACUAACGAAUAAGGGGUGGGCAAGUUCUGGUGU
This 434-nucleotide ribosomal RNA is filed under the name uncultured archaeon. RNAcentral describes it as "bacterial SSU rRNA". It matches the Rfam family "Archaeal small subunit ribosomal RNA", at positions 19 to 458 of the family's 1478-position model. The record is from RNAcentral.